GGGGUUGUGGCUCAGUGGUAGAGCGCUCACCUAGCACAUGUGAGGCCCUGGGUUCAAUCCUCAGCACUACA
This 71-nucleotide transfer RNA is filed under the name Marmota monax (woodchuck). RNAcentral describes it as "tRNA.Ala". The stretch from base 6 to 66 matches the Rfam family "tRNA", at positions 6 to 65 of the family's 71-position model. Rfam says of the family: Transfer RNA (tRNA) molecules are approximately 80 nucleotides in length. Their secondary structure includes four short double-helical elements and three loops (D, anti-codon, and T loops). The record is from RNAcentral. Lineage: Eukaryota; Metazoa; Chordata; Mammalia; Rodentia; Sciuridae.